CGAAGGUCCCAAGCGUUAUCCGGAUUUAUUGGGUUUAAAGGGUGCGUAGGCGGACUAUUAAGUCAGUGGUGAAAGCCCCGAGCUCAACUCGGGAACUGCCAUUGAUACUGAUGGUCUUGAGUACAUUUGAGGUGGGCGGAAUGUGUCAUGUAGCGGUGAAAUGCUUAGAUAUGACACAGAACACCGAUUGCGAAGGCAGCUCACUAAACUGUAACUGACGCUGAGGCACGAAAGCGUGGGGAGCAAACAGGAUUAGAUACCCUGGUAGUCCACGCCCUAAACGAUGAUCACUCGAUGUGUGCGAUACACUGUACGCGUCUGAGCGAAAGCAUUAAGUGAUCCACCUGGGGAGUACGGCCGCAAGGCUG
This 368-nucleotide ribosomal RNA is filed under the name uncultured organism. RNAcentral describes it as "bacterial SSU rRNA". It matches the Rfam family "Bacterial small subunit ribosomal RNA", at positions 526 to 896 of the family's 1533-position model. The record is from RNAcentral.